RNAcentral lists this long non-coding RNA (1705 nucleotides) under Bemisia tabaci. RNAcentral's name for it is "lncRNA ENSSWEETPG006938". The record is from RNAcentral. Lineage: Eukaryota; Metazoa; Arthropoda; Insecta; Hemiptera; Aleyrodidae.
AGGCUUCACCAGUGCAGUCUAUCAAGAGUCUCAUCUUGGCACCGACAAAAGAACUUUGUCAUCAGAUCUACCAAAAUGUUUUGCAGCUUACAAUCAAAUGCUCGAGGGAUGUUUGCUGCGUUGAUAUCUCACAGCAGGUGAACUUAAAUUUUGUAUUUUUUCAACUUUUACAAAGCUGUGCAUAAGGUUUAUAUUGCAUUAAAUUUUUCUGCAACAUUUAUUCAUGGGCGCAGGAUCAUCUUUCAUUAUACUUUUAGGAACAACGAAAGAGAGAAGCAAUCUCAAUGUUUAAAAUUUAGAGGAAAAUACUUCAACUAACACUCCAAAAAAUCUCAUAUUCUCGAGUGCUUUCUGAAAUAAUUACAUUCUUAAAAUCCAAUAUUUCUACAGUUCUUCUUAGUUGUUGCUUUGGACAAAUCCUUUGACGUAAAGGUUGCCUUAGAAACAAUGAAAUUUUGAUACGCUUGCAAUUUCCAUAAAGCAAGGAAAUUAAUGCAAGGAAUAGGUAAUUAAUUAUGAAAGUGAAGAGUUUUAUGGCAACAGAGCUGAUCAUUACAUUAAGACAAGAAUUUUAAGAACUGUUUCCACAUCUACUGUAGUAAACAAUGCACUUACAAUGCAGGUUUCAGGUGUAAGAGGAGCAGGUGAACUACAAUUCAAAGAAGCUUGGCCAUUAUGAACACUGGUGACUUCUUUAAUCUGUAAUUGAUUUUGUUUUGUAGCCUGAUGGUGCAGCACAGCACCGUUGCUGAUCGAGAAACCUGAUAUCAUUGUUAGCACACCAUCCAGAGUGCUGCACCACUUGAGAGAAAAACAUAUCAAACUAAGAAACUCUCUUGAACUUCUAGUCAUUGACGAAGCUGAUCUUCUAUUCUCCUUUGGUUAUGAGCAAGACCUGAAGCAGCUAUUAACCUUCUUGCCCUCUACUUUCCAAGGAACAUUAGCAUGCGCAACAUACACAGACGAUGUGGUGAAAUUGAAAAACUUAAUUCUUCCGAAUGCAGUGAUUUUGAACCUGAAAGAGCCAGAUUUGGCACCAGUCACUCAGUUGAGUCAUUACGUACGGCAUGCAGAAGAGGAAGAAAAGGCUGUCACGCUCCUUGUCUUACUCAAAUUGCAGCUGAUAAGGGCAAGACUAUAAACAUUCGUCAACAGAGUAGACCGCUGUUACAAGUUAAAAUUAUUUUUAGAACAGUUCGGAAUUAAAACCUGCAUUCUGAAUUCAGAACUACCAGCCUCAUCUCGGUGCCAUGCAAUAUCGCAGUUCAAUGAGAAUGUUUAUGAAAUCAUUAUUGCAUCCGAUGAAAAAGCAUUAGAACAAGUUUCUAAAGGGGAAAUUGUCACCAAAAGUGAGUAUCAGUGCCUAUUUUACAGUGAAAUUGAAAUUAAAGGUUUCCUUGAAAGUUUGGUAAAACUCGUCUUAGAAUGCAGUCGACAGAAAAUUGUUUACUUAUCUUCUCCUUUAUUUAUCUAAUACUUAAUCAAUUUAAACUCAAAUGUUUUAAAAAAUGGUCUUGUGAAUUGAGUAGUAUGCGUGAAUACUAGGGUGUUUCUUAUUUUUUAAAUUUUCGAAUUCGAAGGAGGUCCUGGUCUUAAAAGUUGAUGUGUGGAUAGAUUAGAAGCCUUGUGCAAGAAAAAAAAAUUUAAAAAAUUUUUACCCAGUGCUCAAACGACUUAAGUGACACAGGUUGAAAUUUGAGGUAAU